GUGGGGAAUCUUCCGCAAUGGACGAGAGUCUGACGGAGCAACGCCGCGUGAGUGAAGAAGGUUUUCGGAUCGUAAAGCUCUUUCGUUAGGGACGAACGUGCUCUUUGUGAAUAAUGAGGAGUAAUGACGGUACCUAAAUAAGAAGCCACGGCUAACUACGUGCCAGCAGCCGCGGUAAUACGUAGGUGGCAAGCGUUGUCCGGAAUUAUUGGGCGUAAAGCGCGCGCAGGCGGGAUAUCAAGUCUGUCUUAAAAGUGCGAGGCUCAACCUCGUGAGGGGACAGAAACUGGUAUUCUUGAGUGUCGGAGAGGAAAGUGGAAUUCCAAGUGUAGCGGUGAAAUGCGUAGAGAUUUGGAAGAACACCAGUGGCGAAGGCGACUUUCUGGACGAUGUCUGACGCUGAGGCGCGAAAGCUAGGGGAGCGAACGGGAUUAGAUACCCCUGUAGUCC
Molecule: ribosomal RNA, 450 nt
Filed under: uncultured bacterium
Lineage: Bacteria
Description: partial 16S ribosomal RNA
Rfam family: Bacterial small subunit ribosomal RNA
Source: RNAcentral